AUUGAACGCUGGCGGCAUGCUUUACACAUGCAAGUCGAACGGCAGCGCGGGCUUCGGCCUGGCGGCGAGUGGCGAACGGGUGAGUAAUACAUCGGAACGUGCCCAGUAGUGGGGGAUAGCUCGGCGAAAGCCGGAUUAAUACCGCAUACGACCUGAGGGGGAACGCGGGGGAUCUUCGGACCUCUCGCUCUUGGAGCGGCCGAUGGCAGAUUAGCUAGUUGGUGGGGUAAAGGCCUACCAAGGCGACGAUCUGUAGCUGGUCUGAGAGGACGACCAGCCACACUGGGACUGAGACACGGCCCAGACUCCUACGGGAGGCAGCAGUGGGGAAUUUUGGACAAUGGGCGAAAGCCUGAUCCAGCAAUGCCGCGUGUGUGAUGAAGGCCUUCGGGUUGUAAAGCACUUUUGGCGGGAACGAAAAGGACUGUGCCAAUACCACGGUUCGAUGACGGUACCCGCAGAAUAAGCACCGGCUAACUACGUG
This 484-nucleotide ribosomal RNA is filed under the name uncultured bacterium. Its description in RNAcentral is "partial 16S ribosomal RNA". It matches the Rfam family "Bacterial small subunit ribosomal RNA", at positions 29 to 507 of the family's 1533-position model. The record is from RNAcentral.